UCUGGGCUAAAGGUAGAGUAAUGGCCCCCUCUGUUUCCCCCGCACGUCAACAUACCAAAGAACUCAAAUUCACAAAAGGAAAUCAUCACAUUUACACUGAUGCCAGCUUCAAAUGAAGUCCAGCUAAGACAGAGAGGGAGAUUAAGCUUGAGCAAAUUGACAACAGACAGACACAGAGUGCGAAGCUGUGGGUUGUUUUAAUGCUAGAGACAGCAAAGGUGAUCUUAUUAAGAAGUGAGGGAGGAAGAGAGGGGAAGGAAUGAGGGGAGGAAGGAAAGACACCAUUUAGGGCUACCCGCUCUGUGGCAUGGCAGAGGCUAAAACAGGACAUAACUUGUGAACUUAAAGGUUAGUGCCGUUACCAUGGCGAGGGCUGGGCGCCCUGCAUCUGAGAGCUACCAGCCAGCUUGCUUUUCUGUCAGUCAGUCGCUCUCUUACUCCAGUGGAGCUCCAAAGGUGGAGGAUGAAGAUGAUCAGGCACCGAUUUUCUCCCUCUCUAAGAGCUCCAUGGAUGUUUUAAUGGCUGCAAGUCCGCCACACAAGCGUGAUCCAUCGUGGACCAGACUGGACCUGAGGCGCAGCUCAAGCACAAACACCCACUAUGAGCAGAACUCCGUGACACUGCAGCCGCUGCACGCUUACAUGUGGCAACAUGUCAACACCACCAACAGCCACCAGUUAGCAUCCACAACCAAUAAUGUUAACAUCAAUAGCUCUCCUGCUCUCAGCGAGCAUUGGGUUUCCAACAUGCAGCGAUGGAGUGGGUGUAGUGGUAGCACACAUAGCCGCAGCAGCACUCCAGACACAGUCGUGUCACGCCCCUCCAGUCUCAUCCAUGAAGCCACUUGUUCUGCAGCACCAGAUUCUCCGAUGUCCAAACUGACCUCUCCAGAAACCACACCCUCACCGUUCAUCUCCCCGCUCAACACGCCUACUUUACCACCUGUACAGACUUCUUCUUCACCACUUCCACUGAACUCACUGCAGCAGGAAGAUUUACUAGAACUUUCACCUGCAUUCUCAUCCCCAAAGAUUGACAACUCUUCAAGCUUUCAGUCCCACUCUCCUGAAACACUCCAGCUCACCAGCACAGAAGAUGAAGGCUUCUUGGAGAAUAAUUCCCUUUCAUUUCAGUUCCCUUCCCCAAUCCUGUCCUCUGUUAGUUUAGAUGAAGCAGGAGUGUCUUCAAAUCCCGAAUGCCUUGUUGAUGACGUGAUAGAACUGCUGUCCAGCCCUACAGGAAUACUGGAGGGUGAAGAAGCAAGAAGCCCUGUGCAAAUGCUUAGCUACCUGACACCUGAUUCUCCAAAGCAGCAGUCAAAAACAGGACCAUCUGUCUGCUAUCUUGAGCUGCCGUGGCAGCCAGAGCAAAUCUGUGCAACAGGUCGAGGUUGGGGGUCACCACUUGUCUCUUCCCUGAGUGACUCACGGUUGGGUGACACUUGCAGGUGCUGCUUAAAUGCCAGAGAGGGCACUGAAAGGGCAAUGAAGGUAGAGCUGUUCAGGCAAGAAGCUCCACCAGUGUCACGGCCAGAAAUGGCAGAUGCAGCUGUGCAGACGGUCUCUCCUGUUGGCUCAUGGUGGGACCUCAAGAGGAACAUUUCCACAUCCAACAUGGGGUCCCAUUCUAUCUUGGGCUCGCCACCUGGAUCCAGACUGAACCUGAAGUCUUCAGCAGGGUCUAACUCCAAUCUAGUAUCAGCAUCUUCCAGCAUGUUCCCAGUUAGCAGUGCAGAGGAGGAGGAAAAACAAGUUGAAGACCCUGCAUUGGAAGUUACCUCUGUUUCUUCACAUGAUCUGGAGAGCAGGAGGCCGUGUCUGAAGAUUCAGGCAGAGGAUAGGGAUGAGCUAGGUAGAAGGAGGAGCAGUAUGAAGCAGGUGCAAUGGGAUGAGGAUGGUAUGACAUGGGAUGUUCAUGGGGCAUCUGUGGACCCUGAAGAGUUGAACACAGCCAUACUAAAACAUCUGGAAAGCAAGAACAGCCCAGAACCGCCAAGACGUUCCUCAAAGAAGAAGAAAGCACCUAAACCUCCUCAAAACCUUGAUAUCACUGUGUCCCCUAAGAAUGAAGGAACAGCAGAAGCAGAACAGGGUAGAGAAGAAGAGCAGGAAGGAGGGGGAAAUAAGAUAGAAAUAGAAGAAGCUUCACAGAAAAAGAGUACAGCAGAAGAUGACAAAGCAAAAGAAGAUGAGCAAGAGAUUUGUGGAGAGGAAGGCAGCCACCAUUCUAAGUCCCCCUCAUCUGGGAAUGGACACAGCCGGAAGAAGAGUGUGUUAAGGUCACUGAGGAGGCCAAGAUGGUGUGGAGCCUCCACAAAGGCAGAUGACUAAUAUAGCUGGCUAAAUUAAAUCUAUGAUAACUAAUUAAAUCCUCAGGUUGCACAAUAUUCAUAACCUUGGAUUGAAGCUGAAAGAGUUUCAGAGUUCUGUUCAGCUCUAUUCUAGACUUUCUGUCAGCAUGUUUUCUGUUAUUAGGUACAUCUUUCAACAGGUGCAACAUUAGUAAUGUUUUCCUCUCUCACUGGUAUUCCCUGUUUAGUUGAAGAUAGAUGUAACUCUGCUAAACUUUUCAUAAAAGUCAACAGUCAUCACUAAAACUUGUUCCUGUAGAUGUACAAUAAAAUAUUGGUGUCCAUUGCUGAAAUUCUUUGGUUUGUGAGUGAUUACUACAAAUGAGCAACACAAUGGACAUAAGGAUAAGAAGUGAAGGGUAAGAGUUUUCUAUGUGCAAAGACAUGCUUUUUGGGUUCAUUCGUCAUUCUAAAUUGAAUCUAAAUAUUUUUUAUGUGUCUUAUCGAAUUCACAGCCUCAGACAUCUGUGAGACCCAAGUCGAGAUAUUUUCCACACUCUCCUUCAGACAUACUCGUACUACUGGAAAAACUCUGUUGUUUAGGUCAGGGAGUUUCCUUGAUGUAGCCUUUAGCAAGGCAGUACACACGUUGUCCACUGGUUGGCAGUGAAUGCAUUAUUAUUCUCACACCGCUACAAUCUGACAUUACUUUGACUUUGUACAAGAGAAUUGGCGUGCUACCAUAAGACCAGUUAAUGUCUGAUCCACUUGGCCAUUUGUAUUUUCAAAUGCACCGCUGUGGGUAAAGUCAAAAGUACAUGUGUAAAAACAGCCUGUUAGCCCUUUGAAGGUUUCGUAACUGUCCAGGGCUCUAGCCUCACUGAGCCCUAGUGUAAUAACCAGAUCAGAAAAGAGAUUGAUGGAUGGAUUGAUGUUCCUACACACAUUGGAGUUGGGGGCCAGUCGAACUAUUGCCCAACUCUUUUUGCUUAGUUUGUUUAGUUCAAGCAAAAUAAAUACAUACAUUGACAUUUCACUGCAAAUAAUUGUUAUGUACUGGGCAGGUUGCUGGUUACCAACCACUCCGCACAUUAUGACUUUAAUAAACACAACAAAGGAAUAUACACGGUAGCUAAGUUAGCUCUCUGCACAAAUAUGUGUUUUAUGUUAUUAAGCACGAAUCCCUUAAAAAUGUACUUUUGCGCGUUUGUGUUAAAACUAUGAAUGCACGAAUGUGUUUGUAAAUGGGUUUUUUAUUUAAAAAGUGCUACCUGGAGUAAAGGUCUGAGUCCUUCAAAACCUAUUACAAAAAUCUUCAACAACAGCAACAACAACAAAAUAAUAAAAUGAAAAUGUUUCAGAAAUACACAUUUUAUAAUUUUGGUCUCUUUUCUAAAAUGUGUAAUUGUUUGGCUACUUUGUUGUUUGAACUUUUGAAGCAACACAUCACCUCACUCAACUCGUUCACUGCGGGGGGAAAACACACACACAACGUUCAACUGUAUGUAAACUUGGUGAACCACAGUUGUGAGUUUUGGCCAUUCAGGCAUUGCCAUUCAGAUGAGCAGGCACAUUCUCUCUCAUUCACCAAGGGUAAAAAGGCUCAGCUCACUAGUGGCUUCUACUGCAGUUAUUGUUGUCAUAUUUUCACAGAUCUGGAUUUGUGUGUAGAAGAAGCAGGAGGGUCACUUGUAUUUUUAUGAAAAUUGAUAAGCCAAUAAGUUAUAAAUAAUUUACAAAAUAGUCUGUCAAAAGAAUUUAAUUUAGGUGACAUAAACACAUGAACACGUUGUUGUUAAUAUUUGGGUGAACGGACUGUAGUAGAAUCAAUAAUGGUUCUUUAAAGCUGAUAUAUUUUGUGCUAUUUAAAAGUUCAUAAAAUUUAAUAAAGAUGUAAAGUAUUCAAACACUUGUGGCUUUUAACGUCCUUCACCAAAAUACCCACGAGGUGAGUGACAAUUCAAAAAUAA
Astatotilapia calliptera (eastern happy) is the source of this 4261-nucleotide long non-coding RNA. Lineage: Eukaryota; Metazoa; Chordata; Actinopteri; Cichliformes; Cichlidae. The record is from Ensembl.